RNAcentral lists this ribosomal RNA (206 nucleotides) under uncultured bacterium. Its description in RNAcentral is "partial 16S ribosomal RNA". It matches the Rfam family "Bacterial small subunit ribosomal RNA", at positions 568 to 774 of the family's 1533-position model. The record is from RNAcentral.
CGCGUAGGCGGACUGCCAAGUCAGGGGUGAAAGCCCACGGCUCAACCGUGGAAGUGCCUUUGAUACUGGCGGUCUCGAGGGAGGUAGGGCGUGCGGAACUUCCGGUGGAGCGGUGAAAUGCGUAGAUAUCGGAAGGAACACCGGUGGCGAAAGCGGCGCGCUGGACCUCUUCUGACGCUGAGGCGCGAAAGCCAGGGGAGCGAACG